GGAAGAAUUGUGGCUUGGUGCUAGAGCAUCUGCUUUGCAUGCAGAAAGCCCCAGAUCCAAUUCCUAGCAUCUCCA
RNAcentral lists this transfer RNA (75 nucleotides) under Sphaerodactylus townsendi. Its description in RNAcentral is "tRNA-Ala". It matches the Rfam family "tRNA". Rfam says of the family: Transfer RNA (tRNA) molecules are approximately 80 nucleotides in length. The record is from RNAcentral. Lineage: Eukaryota; Metazoa; Chordata; Lepidosauria; Squamata; Sphaerodactylidae.